AUUGAACGCUGGCGGAAUGCUUUACACAUGCAAGUCGAACGACAGCACGGACUUCGGUCUGGUGGCGAGUGGCGAACGGGUGAGUAAUGUAUCGGAACGUGCCCUGUCUUGGGGGAUAACGUAGUGAAAAUUACCCUAAUACCGCAUACGAUCCAUUGAUGAAAGCGUGGGAUCGCAAGACCUCGCGCGAUUGGAGCGGCCGAUAUCAGAUUAGGUAGUUGGUGGGGUAAAGGCCCACCAAGCCAACGAUCUGUAGCUGGUCUGAGAGGACGACCAGCCACACUGGGACUGAGACACGGUCCAGACUCCUACGGGAGGCAGCAGUGGGGAAUUUUGGACAAUGGGCGAAAGCCUGAUCCAGCAAUGCCGCGUGCAGGAUGAAGGCCUUCGGGUUGUAAACUGCUUUUGUACGGAAAGAAAAAGCUUCUCCUAAUACGAGAGGACCAUGACGGUACCGUAAGAAUAAGCAACGGCUAACUACGUGCCAGCCGCCGCGGUAA
RNAcentral lists this ribosomal RNA (500 nucleotides) under uncultured bacterium. RNAcentral's name for it is "partial 16S ribosomal RNA". It matches the Rfam family "Bacterial small subunit ribosomal RNA", at positions 30 to 523 of the family's 1533-position model. The record is from RNAcentral.